This 464-nucleotide ribosomal RNA is filed under the name uncultured bacterium. RNAcentral describes it as "partial 16S ribosomal RNA". It matches the Rfam family "Bacterial small subunit ribosomal RNA", at positions 28 to 507 of the family's 1533-position model. The record is from RNAcentral.
GACGAACGCUGGCGGCGUGCUUAACACAUGCAAGUCGAACGGAAAGGCCCUGCUUGCAGGGUACUCGAGUGGCGAACGGGUGAGUAACACGUGGGUGAUCUGCCCUGCACUUCGGGAUAAGCCUGGGAAACUGGGUCUAAUACCGGAUAGGAGCCAUUUUUAGUGUUAUGGUUGGAAAGUUUUUUCGGUGUAGGAUGAGCUCGCGGCCUAUCAGCUUGUUGGUGGGGUAAUGGCCUACCAAGGCGGCGACGGGUAGCCGGCCUGAGAGGGUGGACGGCCACAUUGGGACUGAGAUACGGCCCAGACUCCUACGGGAGGCAGCAGUGGGGAAUAUUGCACAAUGGGCGCAAGCCUGAUGCAGCGACGCCGCGUGGGGGAUGACGGCCUUCGGGUUGUAAACUCCUUUCGCUAGGGACGAAGCUUUUGUGACGGUACCUAGAGAAGAAGCACCGGCUAACUACGUG